RNAcentral lists this ribosomal RNA (673 nucleotides) under uncultured Gammaproteobacteria bacterium. Its description in RNAcentral is "bacterial SSU rRNA". It matches the Rfam family "Bacterial small subunit ribosomal RNA", at positions 44 to 715 of the family's 1533-position model. Lineage: Bacteria; Pseudomonadati; Pseudomonadota; Gammaproteobacteria. The record is from RNAcentral.
AUGCUUAACACAUGCAAGUCGAACGCGAAAGUCCUUCGGGAUGAGUAGAGUGGCGGACGGGUGAGUAACGCGUAGGAAUCUAUCCUGUAGUGGGGGAUAACGUUUCGAAAGGAACGCUAAUACCGCAUACGCCCUACGGGGGAAAGCGGGGGAUCUUCGGACCUCGUGCUAUAGGAGGAGCCUGCGUCGGAUUAGCUAGUUGGUGAGGUAAAGGCUCACCAAGGCGACGAUCCGUAGCUGGUCUGAGAGGAUGAUCAGCCACACCGGAACUGAGACACGGUCCGGACUCCUACGGGAGGCAGCAGUGGGGAAUAUUGCGCAAUGGGCGAAAGCCUGACGCAGCCAUACCGCGUGUGUGAAGAAGGCCUUCGGGUUGUAAAGCACUUUCAGUGGGGAGGAAAAGCUGGCGGCUAAUAUCCGCUGGCCCUGACGCUACCCACAGAAGAAGCACCGGCUAAUUCCGUGCCAGCAGCCGCGGUAAUACGGAAGGUGCGAGCGUUAAUCGGAAUUACUGGGCGUAAAGCGCACGUAGGUGGCUUGGUAAGUCGGAUGUGAAAGCCCCGGGCUCAACCUGGGAACUGCAUUCGAUACUGCUGAGCUAGAGUACGAAAGAGGGGGGUGGAAUUCCAGGUGUAGCGGUGAAAUGCGUAGAGAUCUGAAGGAACACCAGUGG